CCGGAUUUAUUGGGUUUAAAGGGUGCGUAGGCGGAAUGUAAGUCAGCGGUGAAAUUUUGCAGCUUAACUGUAAAGGUGCCGUUGAUACUGUGAGGCUAGGAUUUGGUUGCUGUGGGUGGAAUGUGUGGUGUAGCGGUGAAAUGCUUAGAGAUCACACAGAAUAUCGAUUGCGAAGGCAGCUCACAAAGCCAAGAUUGACGCUGAGGCACGAAAGUGUGGGGAUCAAACAGGAUUAGAUACCCUGGUAGUCCACACUGUAAACGAUGAUAACUCGCUGUCGGCGAUAUACAGUCGGUGGCCAAGCGAAAGCGAUAAGUUAUCCACCUGGGGAGUACGACCGCAAGGUUGAAACUCAAAGGAAUUGACGGGGGCCCGCACAAGCGGAGGAACAUGUGGUUUAAUUCGAUGAUACGCGAGGAACCUUACCUGGGCUUGAAAGGGGAUCGACCUCCCGGGAAACCGGGAUUCUCUUCGGAGCGGUCUCCUAGGUGCUGCAUGGUUGUCGUCAGCUCGUGCCGUGAGGUGUCGGGUUAAGUCCCAUAACGAGCGCAACCCUCAUUGUUAGUUACCAUCAAGUAAAGUUGGGGACUCUAACGAGACUGCCGGCGUAAGCCGUGAGGAAGGUGGGGAUGACGUCAAAUCAGCACGGCCUUUAUGUCCAGGGCUACACACGUGUCACAAUGGCCAAUACAGAGGGCAGCAAUACCGUAAGGUGGAGCAAAUCCUAAAAGUUGGUCUUAGUUCGGAUCGGAGUCUGCAACUCGACUCCGUGAAGCUGGAUUCGCUAGUAAUCGCAGAUCAGC
Molecule: ribosomal RNA, 803 nt
Filed under: uncultured bacterium
Lineage: Bacteria
Description: bacterial SSU rRNA
Rfam family: Bacterial small subunit ribosomal RNA
Source: RNAcentral